RNAcentral lists this ribosomal RNA (468 nucleotides) under uncultured bacterium. RNAcentral's name for it is "partial 16S ribosomal RNA". It matches the Rfam family "Bacterial small subunit ribosomal RNA", at positions 28 to 507 of the family's 1533-position model. The record is from RNAcentral.
GACGAACGCUGGCGGCGUGCUUAACACAUGCAAGUCGAACGGAAAGGCCCUGCUUUUGUGGGGUGCUCGAGUGGCGAACGGGUGAGUAACACGUGAGUAACCUGCCCUUGACUUUGGGAUAACUUCAGGAAACUGGGGCUAAUACCGGAUAGGAGCUCCUGCUGCAUGGUGGGGGUUGGAAAGUUUCGGCGGUUGGGGAUGGACUCGCGGCUUAUCAGCUUGUUGGUGGGGUAGUGGCUUACCAAGGCUUUGACGGGUAGCCGGCCUGAGAGGGUGACCGGCCACAUUGGGACUGAGAUACGGCCCAGACUCCUACGGGAGGCAGCAGUGGGGAAUAUUGCAUAAUGGGCGGAAGCCUGAUGCAGCAACGCCGCGUGUGGGAUGACGGCCUUCGGGUUGUAAACCGCUUUCGCCUGUGACGAAGCGUGAGUGACGGUAAUGGGUAAAGAAGCACCGGCUAACUACGUG